This 253-nucleotide ribosomal RNA is filed under the name uncultured bacterium. RNAcentral describes it as "partial 16S ribosomal RNA". It matches the Rfam family "Bacterial small subunit ribosomal RNA", at positions 524 to 776 of the family's 1533-position model. The record is from RNAcentral.
UACGUAGGGUGCAGGCGUUAAUCGGAAUUACUGGGCGUAAAGCGUGCGCAGGCGGUUUGUUAAGUCUGAUGUGAAAGCCCCGAGCUUAACUUGGGAACUGCGCUCGAAACUACUUGGCUAGAGUGUGGCAGAGGGAGGUGGAAUUCCACGUGUAGCGGUGAAAUUCGUAGAUAUUCGCAAGAACACCAGUGGCGAAGGCGGCUCACUGGCCCGAUACUGACGCUGAGGUGCGAAAGCGUGGGGAGCAAACAGG